RNAcentral lists this ribosomal RNA (253 nucleotides) under uncultured bacterium. Its description in RNAcentral is "partial 16S ribosomal RNA". It matches the Rfam family "Bacterial small subunit ribosomal RNA", at positions 524 to 776 of the family's 1533-position model. The record is from RNAcentral.
UACGGAGGGUGCAACCGUUGCUCGGAAUUAUUGGGCGUAAAGCGCACGUAGGCGGUCUGCCAAUUCGGAUGUGAAAGCCCUCGGCUUAACCGAGUAAGUGCACUCGAAACUGGCAGUCUUGAGUACUGGAGAGGGUCGCGGAAUUCCCGGUGUAGAGGUGAAAUUCGUAGAUAUCGGGAGGAACACCAGUGGCGAAGGCGGCGACCUGGACAGAUACAGACGCUGAGGUGCGACAGCGUGGGGAGCAAACAGG